Salvia miltiorrhiza (redroot sage) is the source of this 1122-nucleotide long non-coding RNA. RefSeq lists it as uncharacterized. NCBI's taxonomy places the organism in Eukaryota, Viridiplantae, Streptophyta, Magnoliopsida, Lamiales, Lamiaceae. The transcript has 3 exons. The record is from RefSeq and is a predicted model, not a curated record.
UCAGCGGAUAUUCAAGGAUUAUUUGUUUCCCCCAUUCAUAGCCACUCAGAUAUGGAAUCCCUUUAUCUUCAAAUCCGCACCAGUUUCCAUAAUCUUCACAUAGGCAAUUUCUCAAACAGUAGGCGCAAAAUCAGUCUUUGUCUUUGAAUUUCGAUGACACAAAUUAGGGAUGUGCGUCAUCCAUGGCUGCAAACCCUUCUUCUCAACAACUACAGAUUCAUCCAUGGCUGCAAAAGAAGGCAGAUUCAGUAUAUCUCUCUUUCAAUCUCGAGGGCCCUAAUUUGGGAGGUGCUUCAUCCAUGGUUGCAAACGUUUCUUCCCCAUCGCUGUAGAUCCAUGAAUCAGGACAAUUACUACCACAGACACCUCCCGUACCCAAUUAAUUUACAGACGCGGACACCGGCGCCGACGAUUGAAGGAUCUGCUCUUUCUCUGUUUCGUAUUAUCUAGAAUGGCCGACAUCCACGCAACAAUGAAAGAACUGCACAAGGCCUCCAAACAUAGAUUCUUUAACCGCAAAUGGAACGGCCGAAUGGGAAUAUUAGAGAAUCUUGAUCGUAUCUGUUUUUAUGGCUUAGGACCAUGGAAUACGGACGACAGGUUAGUGAUAUUGAGGCUGCACUUAAAGUUGUUGAUUCCGUUCCGCAAGAUCUUUACUACACUGUCACCGAGAUAUAUAAUCAAAUGAUCGUUAAAAGACCGGGGGCGCAUUGACAAAAUUAAUUUUGAGCAUUUCAAGAUCGCCUUGGAGGACAAAUUUAGAGCUCUAUAUCUGGGUGUCCAAGUUAUCGACGAAAACUACGAACCAAUUGAGAUAAGUGAUUCGGAGGAGGAUCCAUCCGAAGAUGAGGCGGAAUUGAUGGACGAGUGUGAAGAUUAGUUAGUUUUUAUGAAAUAUUACAAUUCCUGUUCGUGUGUUUUAUUUAAAUAAGUGCAGUAUGGUUUCAUGCAUAGUUAAUUUAAUAAAACUUAAGAAUUUGCAGUUCAAAUUCGAGUUUCUGAAGUUCUUCUGAAAAUCCAAUGGUUGUUAAUAUCGAAAUGAAUUAAACAGCAAGUAUGUAAUAAAACAAAUCUGUGAGACUAUGAUUUAUAGUCGAACAUUGAGCUGAUCGUAGUGAAACA